GACGAAGGGGGCAAGCGUUGUUCGGAAUUACUGGGCGUAAAGGGCGCGUAGGCGGCUCUGUAAGUCAGGCGUGAAAGCCCCGGGCUCAACCUGGGAGUGGCGCUUGAUACUGUGGGGCUAGAGAGCGGGAGAGGAUGGUGGAAUUCCCAGUGUAGUGGUGAAAUACGUAGAGAUUGGGAAGAACACCAGUGGCGAAGGCGGCUAUCUGGACGGUUUCUGACACUAAGACUCGAAAGCGUGGGGAGCAAACAGG
This 253-nucleotide ribosomal RNA is filed under the name uncultured bacterium. RNAcentral describes it as "partial 16S ribosomal RNA". It matches the Rfam family "Bacterial small subunit ribosomal RNA", at positions 524 to 776 of the family's 1533-position model. The record is from RNAcentral.